RNAcentral lists this ribosomal RNA (742 nucleotides) under uncultured cyanobacterium. RNAcentral's name for it is "bacterial SSU rRNA". It matches the Rfam family "Bacterial small subunit ribosomal RNA", at positions 8 to 796 of the family's 1533-position model. Lineage: Bacteria; Bacillati; Cyanobacteriota. The record is from RNAcentral.
AGAGUUUGAUCCUGGCUCAGGAUGAACGCUGGCGGUAUGCUUAACACAUGCAAGUCGAACGGACUCUUCGGAGUUAGUGGCGGACGGGUGAGUAACGCGUGAGAAUCUGGCUUCAGGUUCGGGACAACAGUUGGAAACGGCUGCUAAUACCGGAUGUGCCUUAUGGUGAAAGAUUUAUCACCUGAAGAUGAGCUCGCGUCUGAUUAGCUAGUAGGUGUGGUAAGAGCGCACCUAGGCGACGAUCAGUAGCUGGUCUGAGAGGAUGAUCAGCCACACUGGGACUGAGACACGGCCCAGACUCCUACGGGAGGCAGCAGUGGGGAAUUUUCCGCAAUGGGCGAAAGCCUGACGGAGCAAUACCGCGUGAGGGAGGAAGGCUCUUGGGUUGUAAACCUCUUUUCUCAGGGAAGAAUGAUGACGGUACCUGAGGAAUAAGCAUCGGCUAACUCCGUGCCAGCAGCCGCGGUAAUACAGAGGGGGCAAGCGUUGUCCGGACUUACUGGGCGUACAGCGCGCGCAGGCGGUUCCAUAUGUGCCUGGUGACAUCGUGCCGCUCAACGGCACGCGGCCCGGGUAGACAGUGGAGCUGGAGGCAGGGAGAGGGAUGUGGAAUACCCGGUGGAGCGGUGAAAUACGUAGAGAUCGGGUGGAACACCAGCGGCGAAGGCGGCAUCCUGGCCCUGAACUGACGCUGAGGCGCGAUAGCGUGGGGAGCAAACGGGAUUAGAUACCCCCGUAGUCC